CAGUGUUACAUCUUUUUUAGAAUUUGUCUAGCAGCUUUUCCAGUUUUCACUGGGGGAAAAA
This is a small nuclear RNA of Callithrix jacchus (white-tufted-ear marmoset), 61 nucleotides long. Its record names the gene U7. It matches the Rfam family "U7 small nuclear RNA". From Rfam's summary of the family: Animal histone pre-mRNAs are spliced by a different mechanism than nuclear pre-mRNAs and self-splicing introns. This processing involves the U7 snRNP, which contains only one RNA species: U7. The 5' end of U7 RNA is thought to base-pair to a conserved spacer element downstream of the cleavage site in histone pre-mRNA. NCBI's taxonomy places the organism in Eukaryota, Metazoa, Chordata, Mammalia, Primates, Cebidae. The record is from Ensembl.